RNAcentral lists this long non-coding RNA (1676 nucleotides) under Nicotiana tabacum (common tobacco). Its description in RNAcentral is "long non-coding RNA (NTAB_LNC013859)". Lineage: Eukaryota; Viridiplantae; Streptophyta; Magnoliopsida; Solanales; Solanaceae. The record is from RNAcentral.
CUGGUGUUUGCUAACAAAUUUAAAUCCUGGAUUCAUGCAUAAACUACAUCGGAUCGAAGCAUGCUGUCACUUGUGUAUCAGACAUAAAAAGUAAGCUAAAACAACAAAUCAUGCAUAUUCAAACAUACACUCAUUCCUUGAUAGUCUACUAUGUAUCCAGAUCUCUAAUAAUGAUGCACAAGAAAAUAUCCAAAUACAUGUGAACCCGCUAAGCUAAGUCGAAUGUCCAUGUUAUAAAUAUUACAAUCAUUACAUCUCCAUUACAGCCAUAACAUGCUUUAACUAGAGCUGGAAAUAGAACUAUAUUAUGAACACUAAAUCAUGACAUAAAAAAACUAGUUGAAGUAGAAUCGUAGAUGAGAAUUGAAACUCAAACAUUGGGGCAUCUAAUUUCAUUCAGCAUUUACACUCCCAUUCCAAAGAUUCAAAAAUGUACCUGAAUAUUGAAAAAAAACAAAAGGAAAGAGGAGUUCAGCAAAACGUAAACAGAUCAGCAGCUCAAAACAGCAACAAACGACUUCUUAGACCAAAUUAAACCCAGAAAACCAGCAAUCCUUCGAAAACUUUGAAGCUUCAACUAGUUGAGAGCAGCCAAGACACAAUUCUAAGCCAUUUUUGUACCAAAUAAUGCAGAAAACUUUGACUAUUAUUUUUAGGGUAAGGAAUUCCGAUGUAUUUUCAGGACCUUAGUGCAGAGAAUAGUGCUUGAAAAUCUAUUUUUCUUCAGAGUGAAGGAAAUGACACUAUCUUAUAGGCCUCUAAGGCCAUUUUCUCUAAAACCAAUUCAGGAAAUAUUCCCCAGCCUGCAAAAAUCAUAUUCUAACUGCCUGCGACAGCUUGUUGUCCCUUAUUGGCUCAUUAUAUUUGUGCUAACCAAAUAGGGACAACUACCCUCUUCUCUAGAAGCUUCUAAAUACAGAAAUUACUGACAGGUCCCUAUUUCAUUUUCCAACUUAACCCUAAGUUUCAAUUGUUCAAUUAAACCCCCCCUAAGUUUCUACUAUUACAAACCAAGGCAAACAAUUCCAAACCAGAAACAAACGGCAACAAAGAACAAAUGGCAUCAACCCUAAAACUUUUAGCUAAACCUAGGCUUUCUUAGCAAUGAAUUGAAGUCAGGAAUAAUGCAAAAACAGAGAUAUUUACCUAGUACUACCAUAAAUCAAGAAUUGAAUAAGCUAACAUUAUUAGGUCAAGGAAUCGCAUUAACAAAAGAAAAACUAGAUAAACAUGUUGACUUCAAACUUAAACUAAUUAACAGACCCUAAAACUACUGACUAAAUAUGUGGAAGCAAGAACAAAGAAAAAACAAAAACCUGAUAACCCAAGAUUAUGACUAACUGACGCUCUUUAAUUAAAUGACAAAUAGAUGGCUACGGGUCAUUAUGUGUAACAUAUAAUCAGAAAUUCACUAGAAGAAAGAAAUGAAAACAGAACUAGAAGCGAAACAAAACAAAAAAAAUAAAAAAAAAAAGAAGAAGAAAGACAAAGAAAAAGGGAUUAGUUUUACCGGAUAGAGCCAAUGGCUAAAAUGACCCAAUCGAGCAAAGGUGACGAAACUUGGCUAGGCAUCAGUGCUUUGACGAGGCUUGAAACUGACCUAAACGAUUAUUCUGGUCAAGAAUAACCUAUUUGGGCGAGCUUCCAACCAAGACGAACAAAACUUCAAAGAAAUC